AUUGAACGCUGGCGGCAGGCCUAACACAUGCAAGUCGAACGAGUGGCGGACGGGUGAGGAAUGUCGGGGAAACAGACCGAUGGAGGGGGAUAACUACGGGAAAAGGUAGCGAAUACCGCAAACCAGCGGAAGUGACCAGAUGGGAUUAGCUUGUAGGGGAGUUAACGGCUCACCCAGGAGACGAUCCCUAGCUGGUCUGAGAGGAUGACCAGCCACACUGGAACUGAGACACGGUCCAGACUCCUACGGGAGGCAGCAGUGGGGAAUAUUGCACAAUGGGCGCGAGCCUGAUGCAGCCCUGCCGCGUGUAUGAAGAAGGCCUUCGGGUUUUAAAGUACUUUCGUCUGGGAGGCGUUACCCGCAGAAGAAGCACCGGCUAACUCCGUGCCAGCAGCCGCGGUAAUAC
Molecule: ribosomal RNA, 406 nt
Filed under: uncultured bacterium
Lineage: Bacteria
Description: partial 16S ribosomal RNA
Rfam family: Bacterial small subunit ribosomal RNA
Source: RNAcentral